This 266-nucleotide ribosomal RNA is filed under the name uncultured bacterium. RNAcentral's name for it is "partial 16S ribosomal RNA". It matches the Rfam family "Bacterial small subunit ribosomal RNA", at positions 793 to 1055 of the family's 1533-position model. The record is from RNAcentral.
GUCCACGCCGUAAACGAUGAGUACUGGGUGUCGCGGGUAGUUGACCCCUGCGGUGCCGUAGCUAACGCGUUAAGUACUCCGCCUGGGGAUUACGGUCGCAAGAUUAAAACUCAAAGGAAUUGACGGGGGCCAGCACAAGCGGUGGAGCAUGUGGUUUAAUUCGACGCAACGCGAAGAACCUUACCUGGGCUAGACAACGGUGGACCUCCCCAGAGAUGGGGCUUUCCCUUCGGGGACUGCCGGUUCAGGUGCUGCAUGGCUGUCGU